Molecule: ribosomal RNA, 250 nt
Filed under: uncultured bacterium
Lineage: Bacteria
Description: partial 16S ribosomal RNA
Rfam family: Bacterial small subunit ribosomal RNA
Source: RNAcentral
UACGUAGGGGGCAAGCGUUAUCCGGAAUUACUGGGUGUAAAGGGAGAGUAGGCGGCAUGGUAAGUUAGAUGUGAAAGCCCGAGGCUUAACCUCGGGAUUGCAUUUAAAACUAUCAAGCUAGAGUACAGGAGAGGUAAGUGGAAUUCCUAGUGUAGCGGUGAAAUGCGUAGAUAUUAGGAAGAACACCAGUGGCGAAGGCGACUUACUGGACUGAAACUGACGCUGAGGCUCGAAAGCGUGGGGAGCGAAC